GGCUUAGAAGCAGCCACUCAUUUAAAGAGUGCGUAAUAGCUCACUAGUCGAGUGACUCUGCGCCGAAGAUAAACGGGGCUGAAACCUGACACCGAAGCUUUGGAUACAUUAUGUAUGGUAGAGGAGCAUCGUAUACGGGCAGAAGCUGUGCUGAAAGGCAUGGUGGACUGUAUAGGAGAGAGAAUGUUGGCAUGAGUAGCGUAAGGCAGGUGAGAAUCCUGUCCGCCGAAAAUCUAAGGUUUCCUGAGGAAGGUUCGUCCUCUCAGGGUUAGUCGGGACCUAAGCCGAGAGCGAAAGCUGUAGGCGAUGGACAACAGGUUGAGAUUCCUGUACCACCGAAAGUUGAUUGAACGAAGUGGGGACACAGAAGGAUAAGCUGAGCGCGCCGCUGGUAGAGCGCGUCUAAGCACCAAGGGAGAUGGCCAAGGCAAAUCCGGGCUGUCAAUUCUGAGGUGUAAUGGGGAGGGAAAAUAAGUACCGAAGCAGCUGAUUUCACGCUGUCAAGAAAAGCCGCUAGUGAGACCGUAGGUGCCCGUACCGCAAACCGACACAGGUAGAUGAGGAGAGAAUCCUAAGGUGAGCGAGAGAACUAUUGUUAAGGAACUCGGCAAAAUAACCCCGUAACUUCGGGAGAAGGGGUGCCUGCGAAAGCAGGCCGCAGUGAAAAGGCCCAGGCGACUGUUUACCAAAAACACAGGUCUCUGCAAAAGCGAAAGCUGAAGUAUAGGGGCUGACGCCUGCCCGGUGCUGGAAGGUUAAGGGGAAGUGUUAGGGCAACCGAAGCACAGAACUUAAGCCCCAGUAAACGGCGGCCGUAACUAUAACGGUCCUAAGGUAGCGAAAUUCCUUGUCAGGUAAGUUCUGACCCGCACGAAAGGCGUAACGAUCUGGGCACUGUCUCAACAAUAGACUCGGUGAAAUUGUAGUACCGGUAAAGAUGCCGGUUACCCGCAGCAGGACGGAAAGACCCCGUGGAGCUUUACUGCAGUUUGAUAUUGAGUUUCGGCAUUGCAUGUACAGGAUAGGUGGGAGACAGAGAAGUAAGUACGCCAGUAUUUAUGGAGUCAAUGUUGGGAUACCACCCUUGUAACGUUGAAGUUCUAACGGUGUGCCGUGAACCGGCAUCCGGACAGUGUCAGGUGGGCAGUUUGACUGGGGCGGUCGCCUCCUAAAGAGUAACGGAGGCGCCCAAAGGUUCCCUCAGUGCGGUUGGAAACCGUGCGAAGAGUGCAAAGGCAGAAGGGAGCUUGACUGCGAGACAGACAGGUCGAGCAGGGACGAAAGUCGGGCUUAGUGAUCCGGUGGUACCGAGUGGAAGGGCCAUCGCUCAACGGAUAAAAGCUACCCCGGGGAUAACAGGCUUAUACCCCCCAAGAGUUCACAUCGACGGGGGUGUUUGGCACCUCGAUGUCGGCUCGUCUCAUCCUGGGGCUGAAGUAGGUCCCAAGGGUUGGGCUGUUCGCCCAUUAAAGCGGU
RNAcentral lists this ribosomal RNA (1476 nucleotides) under human gut metagenome. RNAcentral describes it as "bacterial LSU rRNA". It matches the Rfam family "Bacterial large subunit ribosomal RNA", at positions 1103 to 2597 of the family's 2925-position model. The record is from RNAcentral.